Molecule: non-coding RNA, 21 nt
Organism: Caenorhabditis elegans
Lineage: Eukaryota; Metazoa; Nematoda; Chromadorea; Rhabditida; Rhabditidae
Source: Ensembl
UUGCUCGAGAAUACAACGAAA